Molecule: long non-coding RNA, 1522 nt
Organism: Daphnia carinata
Lineage: Eukaryota; Metazoa; Arthropoda; Branchiopoda; Diplostraca; Daphniidae
Exons: 6
Source: RefSeq, a predicted model, not a curated record
UGGUCACGUUUACCGGUGUGUUCUAAAUUGUCAUGGCAACGAGUUUUUUAAACUUAGAAAGUCAUAUUGUUCCAUCAAUCAUCAACAGAUGCCGCAGCUGACCAAUCCCCCCAACCCAAGGGGUAUUAGGCCCCUCCGGCAAUUCAGUUUUAGGCGCAGGGGGGUAUUGCGCGCUUGCUGGCCGUUAUUAUAGUAGGCCAUGAUACACAAAUACACAAUCAUAGAAACGGCUGCAAAACAACUUGAUCCAGAAAUAGCGCGCACCCAUCGCCAGUAUGCUCUGGUAUUUGACUAUUUGGUCUGCCAGUAGUUAAAUAUAAUACUUAAUUUGCAUUCAAGAGGUCUCGAAUUGAAUGCUCACGUAAAUUGAUAUUGUCUUAAUAAAUUGGCAUUAGUAAACGCGCCAGAUACCUGAGCAUACUGGCGAUUUGGUCUUAGCCUCUGUUUAGGCGAACAGUUUUGUAAGUAUUAUAAUUUAUUUCGAUUUAGCACCCAUCUUGCGACACUUUACAGUGAGUACCAAAUGGUACGUACAGUUGGACUGCAUCAAACUGUUACUUGAUCGAAUGGCUAGCAGCAAAAUUGAACUUUUUCACAAAAGCUACCUUUCCUAUUCCAUAGGUACUCCUUUGUUUUAAUUAAUCAAACCAUUGCUGAUAAAUAUGGCAAGCAUAAUGGUUUGGUUUGCCAACUUAUACAUGAAAAAUAAGGGUAUCUUGCAAGGUUCGGAUCUUGCAAUGCUCGGCAAAGUCUUCCUUCUUAUCAAUGGACUGAAGGCUAGACAACACCAGGAGAAGAAAACCGAUUGUUCGCUUUUGUUGGUCUAUAUCAACCAAUGGUAUGGUUAUUGAUCUUGAUUAGCGUUUUUCGUCGUAGUGAGCGUGAUGACUAUUUAGUUGGAUGUCGCAACGGAAUGUAAAGGACGCUUCAAUCCCAUCUACAAUAGAUACAGAAUGAAACAACUAACCCAAUGAAGACAAAGAAGUAAGCAAUAUUUCACAGCAAAGAAAUCUUUACUUCGUUUGGAUUUCAUAUGAUCUGUAUGGUGAAUAUCAUGACAAAUCAAGGUGAUAUUCAUGUUUUUUGCCCUUUAAUUUGUUUUUUUUUAUCGAAGCCGAAUGCCACUUGAAGCUUACUUUACCAACAAACAGUAGGGCGCAAUGGUGAAGCUUUCAGUUACGUGUCGUUUCGAACCAUGACUGAAAGUUGUGUUCGUAAGCUACGGCGUUGGUUAAUUCUUAUAUUGAAAUUGUCACUUUGUUGCUUAGGAAACCCUGAAUGAAACCAACCAUAAACUUGUUCGAAGAUUCGGCCACAAGAAUAGAAAUUUCAAUAGUUUUUAGGCAUGACACGUCGAUGGGAGAACAGAUAUUGGAUUUGACCUCUGGUGUUCUUGUAAGAUUCUUGGAGAGCAAGCCUGGUCGUAUUAUUGGCGAUCCUUUGAAGUUAAAUGCGAUGUUGGAAACCGGCCGAUAUGCGUAUCCAUUUCUUUCAACAUUUGGCUAUUCGUUCGUCGGUUCAC